CCCUAUUAUUUUUAAGUGUUAAUUUUAUUUUUCCUAGGUAGUAUUAGUUAUGUUCUUGAAACCUAAAGAAUUUGGCGGUACUUUAUUCCGAUUAGAGGAAUCUGCCCUGUUAUCGAUAAUCCGCGUUGUACCUUACUUAGUUUGUUUGUUUGUAUACCGCCGUAUAUUGAUUAUCAUUUUAGUGUUUUAAAUUUUCUUGAUUCAUAAUUUUGCUUUAUUUCAGGUCAAGGUGCAGCUUUUAUCUAAGUGUGAGGUGGAUUACAUUGGUUUUUUGUUUAUUGGAUUAUUUGUUGUUAAAUUUGUAUGAAAUUGGAUUUGAUUGUAAUGUUUGGAUGAAGAUUGUUCUCAUGAUAAUUGGUUCUAAGGUAUGUACACAUCGCCCGUCGCUCUCAUUUUUAUUAAUGAGAUAAGUC
This 413-nucleotide ribosomal RNA is filed under the name Schedorhinotermes lamanianus. RNAcentral's name for it is "partial 12S ribosomal RNA". Lineage: Eukaryota; Metazoa; Arthropoda; Insecta; Blattodea; Rhinotermitidae. The record is from RNAcentral.